UAAGACCAAAUAACUCUGCCUUGCCCAAUUUCAGCUCAAGUGGCUUCUCCAUUUGAGAGCAUCAUCAUGAUCUUCAUUCUGGACCAGAUUACUUAGUCAUAAAGCAACUAUGUUAAUUAGUGGUCCAAUUCUUCUCAAAAUUACCAGGAUGUAAGUCCUUCUUACCCUAAACAUACCAGACAACUCCUUUGACCUCAAUCAAGUCUCUGUGGAUCAGCAGUGCUCGAUCAAGUUUACUGCAGUAAACUUCAGAGCUUGAUUACUUUUUAACCAUGUCACUUUUAACCCAUCUACCACCUCAGAUGCAACCUCCCCUGGAUGAACUACUCACUAGACAACAUUUCCAAGUACCUCUCCCCCACUACAUGCCAGUGCACAUGGUGACCACGACAAUGGCAUGCAUGUGCACGCGCUCUGUGUGCAGUGCGCGCGUCCAGUGGCUGUUUGUGCUGGACCCCUUCUCCCUUUCGGCGUCUUCGAGCUCGUGAGCAUGUCCCACAGCUGCACCGCGUCGUCUCCCUCCUCCUGGAGCCCUCUCCCCCUCCUUCAGCCCCUCCGUCAGCGCUCGUCGCCGUGCGCCCAUGGGCGAGCUGUAACCGACUGAGGCUUUAAUGGCAUUCGGCUCUUCUCCUCUUGUCCACGAGCUCACCCUCGUCUCCGUGAGCCCUGACCCUCGUCCGUUCCCUCUCUCGUCACCUUCCCGAGCCCUCCCGUGCUCGCUGAGCGUCGCCAGAACCUUGGCCAAGAGCGAGUGGCGGCACCCGAGCCCGUGACCCUCGCCCCGGCUAUAAGUAGCCACCCCCAGCCCCGUUCGAGCACACUAGCAGCCUCUCCUCCCUCCUCUAGUCCUGCCUAGCCACUUCCUCGAGCUCGAGGAACUCCCAUUGCCCUCCCAAGGCCGAAGCCUCGCCUCGGGUCUCCGCCUAAAUUCGCGGCAUGCCGAGCCCCUCCCCUCCUCGUUCCACCACCAGGAGACCCACCGGAGUCCACCUCACCUCCCCACUCCCUCAGUUUGUCGCCGGAGGCCCUGUGGCCGCCCCUCCAUUGAACGGCCGCCGCCGGCCGCGCUCUCUGUUGCCUCCAGCCGCGGCAGCCCCGCUCCUCCCCGACGCCCGUUUGCCCUCUGAACGGACGCGCCGUCCUUCCCCGACCUCGCCGGCGUGUUCCACUUGGCCGAAGGUGGCCGGAAUCGCCAGCGCCCGUCGCCGGCAGCGCCUCUGCUCCGCCUCUGCCUCCUCCCGUUGCCUUCUCUCCACUCCUCCCCGACGCCUCUUUCCCCUCUGGACGGGUGCGCCGUCGCAUACCGCGGUCGCCGGUGCCCUCACCUCGGUCGGAGACGGCCGGAGUUGGCCGGGCCGGCGCCGGCCUCUUCCCUUCCCUCGCUCCUCUGUCACUGAUCGGGGAGGCAGCGAGGAGGAAGAAGACAGGCGCGAGGAGAGGGAGAUGGAUAAGGCGGGCCCCCUCUGUCAGCUGCUCAAGCCGGGCCACGCCACCACCACGUCACUUAAGUGGAAGUGUCAACUAGGCCGUACGUUUUCCUUAGGUGAAAGCGUAUUCCGGUAUUGCUUCAGGUCAGAGUAUGUUUUCUUUUCAGCUCAGGGGCCUGAAUGCGUUUUCCGGUUCUGAAAGUGUAUUGUCUGUAAUACGUUUCUGUUUUUCAGCUCAGGGGCCUGUUUGUGGAGAAAUCUUUAUAGAUUAGUCCCUGAACUUCAACCCCUCAUAUCUUUUUAACCACAACUCCAAAUGAGCCCUCCGAGAGAGAACUGUUUCCGGCAAGUCUUCCGCGGCUUCACCGCGCUUCCCCCCGUUGCCUUCUUCAUCCCCAGGCAAGCCACAAUACCCACUUGCAUGAUAAUCAUGCAGUAGCCAUGGUUUUCAACUUGAAUAUUGAAUAAAUGUUUGCUUGUUUAAAAGAUGGUUAUCGUUGUUUCGGUAAUGCUUUUGGGUUAGUGCUUACUUUCUUGCUAUGUUGUCAUGCACCUAGUUGUCAUGCCCUGCUAGUUGCUAGUGUUCCUUCAUAUGCUUAUGCUUGCUAGUAGUACAUGUUGAUGUUGGUGAUAUUGUCUUCGGUGCAUGACAGCUAUCUGUCCCGAGUACUGUUCUUAUACAUGUUCUAUUGCAUCCAGUUGGUUAAAUGCUUGCAUGAUAGCACUGUAGAUAUAUUCUUGCAUGGUAUUUAUUGUUGAUGCUAGUGGUCAUGUUAUGUUAUGAGUAGUGUUGCACUUGUAAUAUUUAUGCUCGUCAUUAUGCCAUGUUCAGUUGGAUAUGAUUAAUUGUUGAUAUGGUGGAUAGUUAUGUUGUACCCUCAUGAUUAUGUUGGUAUCAUGCUCAUGCAUUGUAAA
This is a non-coding RNA of Aegilops tauschii subsp. strangulata, 2342 nucleotides long. Lineage: Eukaryota; Viridiplantae; Streptophyta; Magnoliopsida; Poales; Poaceae. The record is from RefSeq and is a predicted model, not a curated record.